CAGCUGGCUUUAGUCCAGUGGUUCCUUCAAGUUUGGCUUCCCAAAUGCCCGGGCCAAUUGGUCCAGUGGUUCGAGAACCGCGGGCACUCUCCAGUCCUUUA
This is an unclassified non-coding RNA of Cavia porcellus (domestic guinea pig), 101 nucleotides long. Its record names the gene Vault. It matches the Rfam family "Vault RNA". From Rfam's summary of the family: This family of RNAs are found as part of the enigmatic vault ribonucleoprotein complex. NCBI's taxonomy places the organism in Eukaryota, Metazoa, Chordata, Mammalia, Rodentia, Caviidae. The record is from Ensembl.